AUGAGGGGGCCGGAGGGGGAAGGGAAGGACUCCGAGCUCUCCCGGCGGUGGGCUGGGUCCGAGGCCCGCGGACGGCCCGCGGCGGGGCCCUGGGUUCGAGGUCGCCCGCCGCUGACCAGCUCCGCCCCCGCCCCUCGGGCCUCAGUUUCCCUCCCGCGUGGAUGGAGGGGCGAGUCCGGGGCCCGUCCGGUGAGCCGCGGGAGGGGAGGGGCGAGGGUGGUAACUCGAGCCGCCCGGAAGGGGUCUCCCGGCGCCCGCGGCCGCGUUCCGGGCGGAGGCACGGGGCCCGGAGCCGGGGUCGCCCCGAGCCGCGGGCGCAGCCCACCCGGCGGCCGCCCUCCCGGUUGUCGGCGCGCCCGGCGGCGCGGAGGUGAGCGCGGGCCCGCGGGCUCGGGAGGAGGCGGCCCCGGGAAGGCGUGGCCCGCGGCGACGUGGCGGGGCAGCCCCACUGCGCGGGCCGGGAGACUGAGGCCCCGCCGCCCCCUGCGGCGCGCGCCCGGGACCCCGGGACCCUGCGGAGCCCGCCGCUGCUUGGUGGCCCGGCCGCCGGGUCCCACCGCCCAGCUCCUCGAGGAGUCGAGAGACGCGGUGCCCCGGGCGCCCCCCGGGAGGGGUGGGGGCCGCUCCCGCCCCAGGCUCGCGGCGGCGGCGGGGGUGGGGUGGGGGCACUGCUCCUCGGGCCCCCCUCGCGCCCCGGGGCCGGCGGACCUCAGCGAGCGCCCCCCCCCCCCACCGCACGGCCCUGCCCCCGUGUGCCCCCGGCCGGCCUCUCUCCUUAGGCCUGGUCGCGACCUCUUAAUUAAUUUUUACAUCCAUUUAUUGUUUAUCUUGGUCUGUUUACAGUGUGUCUCCCGCUGGAAUGUAGGCUCCAGGAGGGAGGGACUGCUUUGUCCAUCGUUGCAUUCUCGGCUAUUUCAGUACUUUCCGAGGGCCCCUUCCCGAUGGGCUGCAUGUUGGAGGUCACACGGGCAGCCAGUCGAGGAGUCCUGCCCUACACGCCGGGGCUGGGGAUAG
This 1014-nucleotide long non-coding RNA is filed under the name Canis lupus familiaris (dog). RNAcentral's name for it is "lncRNA (ENSCAFG00040015316.1)". Lineage: Eukaryota; Metazoa; Chordata; Mammalia; Carnivora; Canidae. The record is from RNAcentral.